Salvia hispanica is the source of this 633-nucleotide long non-coding RNA. RefSeq lists it as uncharacterized. The record is from RefSeq and is a predicted model, not a curated record. NCBI's taxonomy places the organism in Eukaryota, Viridiplantae, Streptophyta, Magnoliopsida, Lamiales, Lamiaceae.
UUCCAUCUACCCACUCUCUCUCUCACUCCUCAAACCCACGAUUCAACAUCGUCUCCCCUAAUUCCCCCCUCCCCAAUUUCCAAACCCUAGCCGCCACUCCAAGCCACCGGAAAUCAACAAUUACACGGAGAAGAGAAUUCUGUCAGAUUUUUCUCACUCGCUCGACGCAACAACGUUUUAAUCGGUGGAAGACUUGCAAUCAACAACAAGGUAGGGUUCCUGAUUUUGGGUUUUUCAAUUGGGUUUUUCUUCAGUAUUGAUUGAUUAGUUUGCUAAAUCGGAGCAACUACACGGAGAAGACGAAUUCUGCCGGAUUUUGCUCACUCGCUCGACGCAGCAACGUUUUAAUCGGUGGAAGACUUGCAAUCAAUAACAAGUUCCUGGUCUGUAUCACAGAACAAACAAUGUCUAAGAGAGGAAGACUGUUCAAAAGCCAACCAACCCAGAAUGCAGAUGGGCCACCAUGAUUCGAGAAACUCUACAACACUGAAAGAUAUAGAGAAUGACAAGGAGAAGCAUACGUGGAAGAGAAAAUAUUGACAUUUUUUAGUUUGUUUUCAAGAUAUAUUGUUUUUUAUACUUGCUUUAAGUCGUACGUUAUUUAGUAGUUAAGUAUUACAUUGUUUUGGAGUU